AUAGAUUACCUUUGACCAUAAACACACACACACACACACACACACACACACACACACACACACACACGUGUUAAGAAAAAAGUGUGGGUUGGGGAUUUAGCUCAGUGGUAGAGUGCUUGCCUAGCAAGGCCCUGGGUUCGGUCCCCAGCUCUGAAAAAAAAAAAAGAAAGAAAGAAAAAAGUGUGAUGAGCUCAACAUUUUCUUUCAGAUGUGUUGAGGGUUUUUCUCUUGUUGCUGGAGUGUCAGCAUGGCCAAUGUUGUCAAAAUCAAGAAAGUUGCAAGGCAACAGCAAAAGUCCUACCCUUUGCCCCUUCUGUGCAGUGUUACUAGAAUGCUGGACCCCUUAUGUGUAAAUAAGAACAACUGGGUGAUUUGCUCUCUGUAUUUUCACAGCUUGGGGUUUCAGUCAUUCCCUUCCGCUUGUACUAGCCACGCACAUGUGCAUGCAUUCGUAUCGGUGUGGAAACUCAGGAGUAGCCUUGUGUAUCUCAUAGAACAGAGUCCAGUUAGCAAUGAGUUGGAUUGCCAGCGGUGAUAACUCCCUGAUAGAAACGUGUGUUGAUUUACCCGCAGGAAAUUCAGAGUGGUUCGUGCUGACUCCUACUUGAAGAACUUUGCUUCUGACCGGUCUCACAUGAAGGACUCGAGUGGGAACUGGAGAGAGCCCCCUCCAGAGUACCCCUGCAUUGAAACUGGAGACUCCAAAAUGAACCUGAACGACUUCAUCAGCAUGGACCCUGCAGUAGGAUGGGGAGCUGUCUACACGCUGUCUGAGUUUGUACAUCGGUUCAGCAGCAAAAACUACUGAGCCUAAUGCUAGCUUGUGCAACUAGAGGAACUCUAGGGUAGGAAUAAGCCAACCUCCAUUCCAGAGAGCAGUGAGGUACAGGUGGCCUAGAGGUAUAUAUAUUUCUCAUUAAAUUUGAUUGGAAAAUUAGUGAACACAAAUAAAAGUGAAUGAAUAAGCCCCCCCCUUUUUUUUUCAGCCUGGGGAUCUAUCCCAGAGUUCUGUCUCCAACCCUAAUCAGUCAGUCCCCAGCCUCAGACAUUAAUGAUGUGUCACAUUGGGUAUAUGGUUACUAAAAUGUUUCCCUGGCUUUCUUAUUUCAAUGUGUGAGAUGUAGACCAGCAACUGCUUUUGUAAAACUAGAAGUGUGGACUUGGAGUCAGCUCCUUUGGUCUGCUGUGUCUGCUUCCUGUCUGGCUAGACUCUAAACUCCUUGAGCACAGGGUUGUGGCCUGUGGCUCUAAGACUCUGUUGCCCAUUAGAGGGACCGGUAAAACGUUUCUAGAGACAGCUCUGCUGCUUGGAAAGGGACACUAUUGUGAGCUGAAUCAGCUGUAAGUAUUAGUCUUUUUGGACUACAAUGUUUAAAAAAGUUGCCAAUACCUUGUCUGAGUGUUAUUUGGCCCAUUUACAAAUGUAGCUUUAAAUAAAAAUGACUUAAUUUUGUUUUUGAA
Molecule: long non-coding RNA, 1461 nt
Filed under: Rattus norvegicus (Norway rat)
Lineage: Eukaryota; Metazoa; Chordata; Mammalia; Rodentia; Muridae
Description: long non-coding RNA NONRATT026955
Source: RNAcentral